AAAGCAGGGGAUCGUAAGACCUUGCGCUUUUGGAGCGGCCGAUGUCUGAUUAGCUAGUUGGUGGGGUAAUGGCCUACCAAGGCUUCGAUCAGUAGCUGGUCUGAGAGGACGGCCAGCCACACUGGGACUGAGACACGGCCCAGACUCCUACGGGAGGCAGCAGUGGGGAAUUUUGGACAAUGGGCGCAAGCCUGAUCCAGCCAUGCCGCGUGAGUGAAGAAGGCCUUCGGGUUGUAAAGCUCUUUCAGCCGGGAAGAAAAGGUUGCGACUAAUAAUCGCAAUUCAUGACGGUACCGAAACAAGAAGCACCGGCUAACUACGUGCCAGCAGCCGCGGUAAUACGUAGGGUGCGAGCGUUAAUCGGAAUUACUGGGCGUAAAGGGUGCGCAGGCGGUUUUGUAAGUCAGAUGUGAAAUCCCCGGGCUUAACCUGGGAACUGCGUUUGAAACUACAAAGCUAGA
Molecule: ribosomal RNA, 461 nt
Filed under: uncultured ammonia-oxidizing beta proteobacterium
Lineage: Bacteria; Pseudomonadati; Pseudomonadota; Betaproteobacteria
Description: bacterial SSU rRNA
Rfam family: Bacterial small subunit ribosomal RNA
Source: RNAcentral